GAUGAACGCUAGCGGGAGGCCUAACACAUGCAAGCCGAGCGGUAUUUGUUCUUCGGAACAGAGAGAGCGGCGCACGGGUGCGGAACACGUGUGCAACCUGCCUUUAUCUGGGGGAUAGCCUUUCGAAAGGAAGAUUAAUACCCCAUAAUAUAUUGAGUGGCAUCAUUUGAUAUUGAAAACUCCGGUGGAUAUAGAUGGGCACGCGCAAGAUUAGAUAGUUGGUGAGGUAACGGCUCACCAAGUCAAUGAUCUUUAGGGGGCCUGAGAGGGUGAUCCCCCACACUGGUACUGAGACACGGACCAGACUCCUACGGGAGGCAGCAGUGAGGAAUAUUGGACAAUGGGUUAGCGCCUGAUCCAGCCAUCCCGCGUGAAGGACGACGGCCCUAUGGGUUGUAAACUUCUUUUGUAUAGGGAUAAACCUACUCUCGUGAGAGUAGCUGAAGGUACUAUACGAAUAAGCACCGGCUAACUCCGUG
Molecule: ribosomal RNA, 479 nt
Filed under: uncultured bacterium
Lineage: Bacteria
Description: partial 16S ribosomal RNA
Rfam family: Bacterial small subunit ribosomal RNA
Source: RNAcentral